This 305-nucleotide ribosomal RNA is filed under the name uncultured bacterium. RNAcentral's name for it is "bacterial SSU rRNA". It matches the Rfam family "Bacterial small subunit ribosomal RNA", at positions 28 to 333 of the family's 1533-position model. The record is from RNAcentral.
GAUGAACGCUAGCGGCAGGCUUAACACAUGCAAGUCGAGGGGGUAGAAGGAGCUUGCUCCUUUGAGACCGGCGCACGGGUGCGGUAACGCGUAUGCAAUCUACCUUUUGCAGAGGAUAGCCCAGAGAAAUUUGGAUUAAUACCUCAUAGUAUGUGAGGAUGGCAUCAUUUUCACAUUAAAGUCACAACGGCAAAAGAUGAGCAUGCGUCCCAUUAGCUAGUUGGUAAGGUAACGGCUUACCAAGGCUACGAUGGGUAGGGGUCCUGAGAGGGAGAUCCCCCACACUGGUACUGAGACACGGACCA